RNAcentral lists this long non-coding RNA (231 nucleotides) under Homo sapiens (human). RNAcentral's name for it is "HSALNT0124076". Lineage: Eukaryota; Metazoa; Chordata; Mammalia; Primates; Hominidae. The record is from RNAcentral.
ACUUAGAACACGUUUCCUCCCAUCACGGCACUUUGAUCUGGCUGAAGAUAUGAGGAUAGAAUACACAAGGUCCAGUGGCUGAAGAAAUUACAGUGCAUUUGUAGAAAUGAUAAUGACUCACAGUGGAUGGAGCACAAGGCUUGGGGAGACAUAUACCCAGAAUGAACAGAGCCAGGAGGUCUUUGCGCAGCCAGGAUCAGAUCUUCCCAAGCCCUAGAUCAGCUCUGAUAG